GGGUGAGUAAUGCCUAGGAAACUGCCUGGAUUGGGGGACAACGUUCGAAAGGAACGCUAAUACCGCAUACGUCCUACGGGAGAAAGCAGGGGACCUUCGGGCCUUGCGCUAUCAGAUGAGCCUAGGUCGGAUUAGCUAGUUGGUGAGGUAAUGGCUCACCAAGGCGACGAUCCGUAACUGGUCUGAGAGGAUGAUCAGUCACACUGGAACUGAGACACGGUCCAGACUCCUACGGGAGGCAGCAGUGGGGAAUAUUGGACAAUGGGCGAAAGCCUKAUCCAGCCAUGCCGCGUGUGUGAAGAAGGUCUUCGGAUUGUAAAGCACUUUAAGUUGGGAGGAAGGGCAGUAAGUUAAUACCUUGCUNUUUUGACGUUACCGACAGAAUAAGCACCGGCDAACUUCG
Molecule: ribosomal RNA, 403 nt
Filed under: Thiobacillus sp.
Lineage: Bacteria; Pseudomonadati; Pseudomonadota; Betaproteobacteria; Nitrosomonadales; Thiobacillaceae
Description: bacterial SSU rRNA
Rfam family: Bacterial small subunit ribosomal RNA
Source: RNAcentral